Molecule: long non-coding RNA, 593 nt
Organism: Alligator mississippiensis (American alligator)
Lineage: Eukaryota; Metazoa; Chordata; Crocodylia; Alligatoridae
Exons: 3
Source: RefSeq, a predicted model, not a curated record
CGCCUGCGAGGGGCGGGGUCGGCACCGCCCGUUUAAAGGGGCAGCAACCAGCGGUGGCCGGAGCCGGGGGGAUGUAGGAGCUGGGAACCCUACGCGUUGGGUAACACAAUGCAUUAGUGGCUCUGAUCUGCACUGGAUGCCUGACUUGUAUACCUGAGCCAUAUGUUUCUCCCCAUAUGACUGCUGCAACUGUGGUCAACAGAAGUGAUCGAGUUGUAGAGCUCCCUAGAUACAAAAGGAAGUUGUUUCUGGUGUGUUCUCCAUAAACCACCUUCCAGAUUGCAAUUUACUACUCCCAGCAGGGAUGGCCAACCAAUGGCACAAGUGCCAUGGGCAGAGGAGACUGGCAGCACAGCAAGAGAUGGGGCAGGAAACAGAGCAGACAAGACACACAAGCAGGAAGCAAAAAGUGGGAGAAAAUUGGACAAGGAACAGAAAACAGACUGAGCAGAGGAGGAAGGAUCAGUGUGGCACUCAGGGAGGGUAAAGGUUAAUUUGUGGGACACCUGCCAAAAAAGUUGUCCCCCAUUAUCUUAAAUUAUAAGAGUUGCUGCUCAUCCAUAAGACACCUAAUUAAAGAAGUACCAAAACAC